UACGUAGGUCCCGAGCGUUAUCCGGAUUUAUUGGGCGUAAAGCGAGCGCAGGCGGUUAGAUAAGUCUGAAGUGAAAGGCUGUGGCUUAACCAUAGUAUGCUUUGGAAACUGUUUAACUUGAGUGCAGAAGGGGAGAGUGGAAUUCCAUGUGUAGCGGUGAAAUGCGUAGAUAUAUGGAAGAACACCAGUGGCGAAGGCGGCUUUCUGGACUGUAACUGACGUUGAGGCUCGAAAGUGUGGGUAGCAAACAGG
Molecule: ribosomal RNA, 252 nt
Filed under: uncultured bacterium
Lineage: Bacteria
Description: partial 16S ribosomal RNA
Rfam family: Bacterial small subunit ribosomal RNA
Source: RNAcentral